Molecule: small RNA, 117 nt
Filed under: Callithrix jacchus (white-tufted-ear marmoset)
Lineage: Eukaryota; Metazoa; Chordata; Mammalia; Primates; Cebidae
Description: Metazoan signal recognition particle RNA (ENSCJAG00000078200.1)
Source: Rfam by way of RNAcentral
GCCGGGCAUGGUGGCCCACGCCUGUAAUCCCAGCAUUUUGGGAGGCCUAGGUGGGUGGCUCACCUGAGGUCAGGAGUUUGAGACCAGCCUGACCAACAUGGUGAAACCCCAUCUCUU